UGGGGAAUAUUGCACAAUGGGCGCAAGCCUGAUGCAGCAACGCCGCGUGAACGAUGAAGGUCUUCGGAUCGUAAAGUUCUGUUGCAGGGGAAGAUAAUGACGGUACCCUGUGAGGAAGCCCCGGCUAACUACGUGCCAGCAGCCGCGGUAAUACGUAGGGGGCUAGCGUUAUCCGGAUUUACUGGGCGUAAAGGGUGCGUAGGUGGUCCUUCAAGUCGGUGGUUAAAGGCUACGGCUCAACCGUAGUAAGCCGCCGAAACUGGAGGACUUGAGUGCAGGAGAGGAAAGUGGAAUUCCCAGUGUAGCGGUGAAAUGCGUAGAUAUUGGGAGGAAAACCAGUAGCGAAGGCGGCUUUCUGGACUGCAACUGACACUGAGGCACGAAAGCGUGGGUAGCAAACAGG
This 403-nucleotide ribosomal RNA is filed under the name Verrucomicrobiota bacterium. Its description in RNAcentral is "Verrucomicrobia bacterium partial 16S ribosomal RNA". It matches the Rfam family "Bacterial small subunit ribosomal RNA", at positions 355 to 776 of the family's 1533-position model. Lineage: Bacteria; Pseudomonadati; Verrucomicrobiota. The record is from RNAcentral.